GUUGGACAGUUCCAAUCUACAGUUAUUUCCUUUCCUGGUUGCUUUCAAUUAAGAGGCAAUAUAUCUCUGCUAUUCACCUAUUCUUAAAAAACAAUUCUGUUUAUACGGAGAUGCAGAGGACAAAAUAAAAGUAAACUUUCUAUGGACUUGAUGUCCCAAUAAUGGGAGUGGAAAUCCCUUUAUUCAAACUUUAAAUAAAAUCAUAUUUUCCAAAGACAUUUGUGAACAAAACAAACAAGCUGGU
This 244-nucleotide unclassified non-coding RNA is filed under the name Hevea brasiliensis (rubber tree). Lineage: Eukaryota; Viridiplantae; Streptophyta; Magnoliopsida; Malpighiales; Euphorbiaceae. The record is from RNAcentral.